UUCCUACACCGGGAAUCGAGCCCGGGCCUUCUGGGUGAAAGCCAGGUAUCCUAACUACUAGACCAUGUGGGA
Non-coding RNA from Araneus ventricosus, 72 nucleotides. NCBI's taxonomy places the organism in Eukaryota, Metazoa, Arthropoda, Arachnida, Araneae, Araneidae. The record is from the annotation of a GenBank genome assembly.